Hemicordylus capensis (graceful crag lizard) is the source of this 3603-nucleotide long non-coding RNA. RefSeq lists it as uncharacterized. Lineage: Eukaryota; Metazoa; Chordata; Lepidosauria; Squamata; Cordylidae. The record is from RefSeq and is a predicted model, not a curated record. The transcript is spliced from 2 exons.
CCAGCCAGGAAGGAGGAGGCAGCCAGAGAGGCCUCCACUGUUCUCUGCAGCAGAAGACCCCCUGCUGCCAGGAGGCUGAGAACAAGUCAGUGUCCCCAGACUUGCUGCAUCUAUAGUGAAUAUCAAUCUUUCAGACAUUGUGCAUGAAGGUAGUGACAGCACUGGAUCAACAGAGAAGUGUCACAUCGUAAGAAAAGAGGGGAUGUAUGUUCCAGACAGACGGAUGAAGAAGCUGGGGGGGAAAUCAGGCAUGAACUUCUAAGCCUUUGGGCCAGCCUGAACGCAUACAGGGCAUGUUUAUUCUGACUGAACAUUUUUGAAUGGAAGUAUAAUUUGAUCGUUGGUGUUUUUACAGUAAAGGUUUAUAUUUUGCAGGAAAGGUGGCUCUAAAAGAAGAGGUACAGUUUGUAGAUAUAACUGCAGUUGUGCCCCCAACAAAUAUUCAUUUCUUCAACAAGCAAGUGUCCUCCUAAGCAUCCUCCUAAGUGUCCUCUCUAACCUGCUCCAAAGUCAGCCCCGCGGUGUUCAGAAGAACUACGGGAGCUGAAGCGGUUAAGAGUGCAAGUGGAGGAAGACUCAGCAUGGAUCUGACAGAUUACAACACAGAGCACAUUUGAAGCGCUAUACUCUGGCAGUGCAAGCAGCAAUGAAGCAGUUCUUUUCUGCCUGCAUUGCUUCUGCAGAUUCACGUCCAGCUGAAUGUGAACAUCACAACCAGUCUAGGGUUGUGAGGGAGCUAGUUUAUGCCCCAUCCCCCUUGAAUUUGAACGUGGAGCCAUCAGUCACUCGCUGUGACGCUUCCAAUGACUUUUUUGCAGAUAAAAUCUCUCAUAUUCGGGCUGAACUGGAUUCCAGAGUCCAAUGUGGAGAGGUAAUCAGCUAUUCCUGGAUAUCUCCAGGAUACUAUUACUGCCAAGUCCAAUGUGGAGGUAUCCAGCUGUUCUUCUUAUAUUGUUAUAUUGGAUCACAUUCAGUUUGUGACUCCUGAGGAUGUGGACAAACCGCUUUGGAUUGUGCAUCCCAGCCCUACAACCUGUUCUCUUGAUCCUUUCCCAACUUGGCUUAUUUCAUCUGGUAAUCAGAGAGGGUCUGGUAAAUAUCAUAAAUGCUUCUCUGAGUGAGGGCAGGAUGCCUCCUUGUCUUAAGGAGGCUAUUAUUAGACUUUAUUUGAAGAAACCUGCAUUGGACCCCUCAGAGCUGGCAAAUUACAGACCUGUUUCUAAUCUUCCAUGGUUGGGCAAGGUGGUUGACCAGAUGGUGGCCUCUCAGCUCCAGGCAGUUUGGGAUGAUACAGAUUAUCUAGACCCAUUUCAAACUGGCUUCCAAGUAGGCUAUGGGGCUGAGACUGCCCUGGUCAGCCUGAUGGAUGAUCUCCAAUUGGCUAUUGACUGAGGGAUCUCUUGGUGGCUUUCGAUACAAUCGACCAUGAUAUCCUUCUGGGUUGCUUGAGGGAGGUGGGAUUGGGUGGCACUGUUUUACAGCAGUACCAUUCAAUACCAUCGACCAUGAUAUCCUUCUGGGUUGCUUGAGGGAGGUGGGAUUGGGUGGCACUGUUUUACAGCAGUACCAUAACAGAUUAUGUCUCUUAGAGACUGCUGCUCUGCAAAGCAGGAGCUAAAGUGUGUGGAUCCACAAGGUUCUAUACUAUAGCCAAUGCUUUUUAACAUCUAUUCUACACGAAAAUGCUGAGAGAGAUCAUCAGGGGUUUUGGUGUUAUCAAUAUGCUGAUGACACCCAGAUGUAUUUCUCCAUAUCAACUUCAUCAGGAAAUGGCAUAACCCAAAUUGCCUGCUUGGAGGAGGUAAUGGGCUGGAUGAGGGAUAACAAACUGAAGUUGAAUCCAAAGAAGACAUAGUUACUGACUGUGGGGAGUUAGGACCCGAGAGAUGGUUUAGAACUGCCUGUUCUGGGUGGGGUUACACUCUCCCUGAAAGAUCAGGUACAUAACUAGGAAGUGCUCCUGGAUCCCAAACUCUGUGGUUUCUCAGCUUGAGGCAGUGGCCAGGAACACUUUUUUUCAGCUUUAGCCAAUAUGUCAGCUACAUCCAUUUCUGGAGGUAAAUGACCUUUAAACAGUAGUACAUAUGUUGGUAACCUCCUGUAAUGCACUCUGUGUGACGCUGCCUUUGUAUGUGGCCUAGAAACUACAAUUGGUACAGAAUGCGACAGCCAGAUCGGUCUCUGGGACGACCCGAAGGGACCACAUAAAACCGAUUUUGAAAGAAUUUUACUGGCUGCUGCUAUGUUUCCAUGUGAAAAACAAAGUGCUGGUUAUUACCUAUAAAGCCCUUAACAGCUUGGGUCCAGGGUACUUAAGAGAGUGCCUUCUUUGUCAUGAACCCUGUUGCCUAUUAAGAUCAUCUGGAGAUCCAUUUGUUUGGGACUUGGGGCCAGGACUUCUCCGUGUCUGUCCUGGGGCUUUGGAAUAUGCUCCCUGUUGAAAUCAGAGCACCUCCUUCUCUGUUUGUUUUUUGGAGAAACCCUUAAGAUGUACCAGUUUUCUCCAGCUUUUAACUGAAAAUUUUUAAUUAUGUAAUGUGUUUUUAUCUUUGAGCUUGUUUCAUUUGUUUCAUGAAUUUUAACUGUUUUAUACUGUUUUUACAUUGGUUGUGUUUUUCAAAAUAUGUACACUACCUAGAAAUGUAUAUAUCAGGAGGUAUAGAAAGAGGAAAAUACCAAUUCCAGGCAUCCCCCUCUCAAAGUGUUAAAAUUAGAAUUUAAUUUUUAUUUUAUUUCUAACAUUUAUUUUGUGCUCUUUCUCCAAGGCCCAGGGCAGUGUAAAUAGUUGUGUUGGACAGAGCUGUAAUUGUAUGCAUGGCGCUGUCCACCCAGCAUCUCUUUUCUCCCCACUGAAUUCAGGGUGCCCCUUUCCCACCCACUGAGUGUGUGCGAGGUACCAGCAGUGGUGGCAGUGGCAGCAGCUGUGAUGGCAGCUGUGGCAGCAGCCUGGGGUAGGUUUCCCUGCCCCACCGCUUAGCUGGUUGCUAUGCAUGCAUGACAGACAGCUGAGUGGAAGGCAAGGCACUCAGCUGCCAUGCCAACCACUCAAAUAGCCACUGCGUAUGUGUGGCUGCCCACUGAGUGGCAGGGCAGAGCAGCCUACCCUGGGCUGCUCUGUGAAGGAAGCUGCCACCACUGCCAACACUGUGCACACACAGUAGGGAGAGAAGUUAGGGUUGCCAUAUACAAGCUCCCCAAAUCCGGGUGGCCUAAUUUGCAUAGUAUGCAAAUUAUGUAGCAACUAAUUUGCAUUUUUUUAAAAAAAUUAUCCCAUAUGUGCAUCAGGGAGAGAGAGGGUGCCUGGGGGCCCACCACUGGGUGGGGGGCGGGUAGGUGGCUUGAACAAGGACCGCCUAUGUCCUCCCUCUGCCACUAUGUUCAUAACUACUCUCUCAGUGAAUGUCCGCUCUUGGAUAUUUGUGGCUGCUUAAAAAAAAUAAUGAAAGAUUUUCGAUUUGUUCAGGCUUUUACCCCUUAGGGGCUGCUGGGUCUCUCAGCUUUCCUGCUUCUGUUUCCUGUUUUUCUGGUGGAUUUUUCUGGUGUUUUAUCAUUUUUUAUUGUUUAAUUGAUUUUAAGGUAUUAAAUGUGAUUUUUUAAAUGGAA